Non-coding RNA from Perognathus longimembris pacificus (Pacific pocket mouse), 615 nucleotides. The record is from the annotation of a RefSeq genome assembly. Lineage: Eukaryota; Metazoa; Chordata; Mammalia; Rodentia; Heteromyidae.
UCUGUGAGCUGGAUCCCAUCCAGUGAUUGACACAGACCACUCACCAUGGAGCUGGGGCUGUGCUGGGUUUUCCUGGUUGCUAUUUUAAAAGGUGUCCAGUGUGAGGUGCAGCUGGUGGAGUCUGGGGGAGGCUUGGUGCAGCCUGGGGGGUCCCUGAGACUCUCCUGUGCCGCCUCCGGAUUCACCUUCAGUAAUUACUACAUGAGCUGGAUCCGCCAGCCUCCAGGGAAGAGGCCUGAGUGGCUCUCAUACAUCAGUGGCAGUAGCAGUGACAUAAACUAUGCAGGCUCCGUGAAGGGCCGCUUCACCAUCUCCAGAGACAACAGCAAGAACACACUUUACCUGCAGAUGAACAGCCUGAGAGAGGAGGACACGGCCCUCUAUUACUGUGCUAGAGACACAGUGCAGGAAAUCCAGUGUGGGCCCAGACACGAACCUCCCUGCAGGGCCGCUCAGGACCAGCAGGGGGCGCGCGGCACAGCUUGCAGCCGGGUCAGCCUGGGGAGCAGCUGCAGACAGGAGCCCAGGGCUGGUCUCCUGGUGUCUGAGCUGCCUCUGUGCCCAGCAGCUUUGACAGAAUUCCUCCCUGAGUUUAUGACCUGCACUCCUCCGUGA